GUGCUCACUUUGGCAGCACAUAUACUAAAAUUGGACCCAUACAGAGAUUAGCAUAGCCCCGCUGCACAAGGUGGACAUGCAAAUUUGUGAAGCAUUUCAUAUUUUA
Molecule: small nuclear RNA, 106 nt
Filed under: Mandrillus leucophaeus (drill)
Lineage: Eukaryota; Metazoa; Chordata; Mammalia; Primates; Cercopithecidae
Source: RNAcentral